CCUACGGGGGGCUGCAGUCGAGAAUCUUCCGCAAUGGACGAAAGUCUGACGGAGCGACGCCGCGUGCGGGAUGAAGGCCCUUGGGUUGUAAACCGCUGUCAGAGGGGAUGAAAUCUUCGGAGGUACUCCUCCGAAGUUGACAGAGCCUCAAAGGAAGCACGGGCUAAGUACGUGCCAGCAGCCGCGGUAACACGUACUGUGCGAACGUUAUUCGGAAUCACUGGGCUUAAAGGGUGCGUAGGCGGCGAUUCAAGUCAGAUGUGAAAUGCCUGAGCUCAACUGAGGCAUUGCGUUUGAAACUGAACCGCUAGAGUAUUUCAGGGGUGUGCGGAACUGCCAGUGGAACGGUGAAAUGUGUUGAUAUUGGCAGGAACACCGGAGGCGAAAGCGGCACACUGGGGAAUAACUGACGCUGAGGCACGAAAGCCAGGGGAGCGAACGGGCUUAGAUACCCCAGUAGUC
Molecule: ribosomal RNA, 462 nt
Filed under: uncultured Planctomycetaceae bacterium
Lineage: Bacteria; Pseudomonadati; Planctomycetota; Planctomycetia; Planctomycetales; Planctomycetaceae
Description: bacterial SSU rRNA
Rfam family: Bacterial small subunit ribosomal RNA
Source: RNAcentral